RNAcentral lists this ribosomal RNA (475 nucleotides) under bacterium 1611-S5-05-3.1. RNAcentral's name for it is "bacterial SSU rRNA". It matches the Rfam family "Bacterial small subunit ribosomal RNA", at positions 58 to 513 of the family's 1533-position model. The record is from RNAcentral.
CAAGUCGAGCGGAACGAGUUAUCUGAACCUUCGGGGGACGAUAACGGCGUCGAGCGGCGGACGGGUGAGUAAUGCCUAGGAAAUUGCCCUGAUGUGGGGGAUAACCAUUGGAAACGAUGGCUAAUACCGCAUGAUGCCUACGGGCCAAAGAGGGGGACCUUCGGGCCUCUCGCGUCAGGAUAUGCCUAGGUGGGAUUAGCUAGUUGGUGAGGUAAGGGCUCACCAAGGCGACGAUCCCUAGCUGGUCUGAGAGGAUGAUCAGCCACACUGGAACUGAGACACGGUCCAGACUCCUACGGGAGGCAGCAGUGGGGAAUAUUGCACAAUGGGCGCAAGCCUGAUGCAGCCAUGCCGCGUGUGUGAAGAAGGCCUUCGGGUUGUAAAGCACUUUCAGUCGUGAGGAAGGUAGUGUAGUUAAUAGCUGCAUUAUUUGACGUUAGCGACAGAAGAAGCACCGGCUAACUCCGUGCCAGCA